Molecule: ribosomal RNA, 460 nt
Filed under: uncultured bacterium
Lineage: Bacteria
Description: partial 16S ribosomal RNA
Rfam family: Bacterial small subunit ribosomal RNA
Source: RNAcentral
CCUACGGGGGGCAGCAGUGAGGAAUAUUGGUCAAUGGAUGAGAGUCUGAACCAGCCAAGUAGCGUGAAGGAUGACUGCCCUAUGGGUUGUAAACUUCUUUUAUAUGGGAAUAAAAUGUUCCACGUGUGGGAUUUUGUAUGUACCAUAUGAAUAAGGAUCGGCUAACUCCGUGCCAGCAGCCGCGGUAAUACGGAGGAUCCGAGCGUUAUCCGGAUUUAUUGGGUUUAAAGGGAGCGUAGGUGGAUUGUUAAGGCAGUUGUGAAAGUUUGCGGCUCAACCGUAAAAUUGCAGUUGAAACUGGCAGUCUUGAGUACAGUAGAGGUGGGCGGAAUUCGUGGUGUAGCGGUGAAAUGCUUAGAUAUCACGAAGAACUCCGAUUGCGAAGGCAGUUCACUGGACUGCAACUGACACUGAGGCUCGAAAGUGUGGGUAUCAAACAGGAUUAGAUACCCGUGUAGUC